Molecule: ribosomal RNA, 463 nt
Filed under: uncultured bacterium
Lineage: Bacteria
Description: partial 16S ribosomal RNA
Rfam family: Bacterial small subunit ribosomal RNA
Source: RNAcentral
GACGAACGCUGGCGGCGUGCCUAACACAUGCAAGUCGAGCGGGGGGAGUUCUUCGGAACGAACCUAGCGGCGGAAGGGUGCGUAACACGUGGGCAACCUGCCUCGAGCAGGGGGAUAAGAGGAUGAAAGUCAAGCUAAUACUGAAUACCCCGGUGCUGUCGCAUGAUGACAUCGGCAAAGGAGCAAUCCGCCUCAAGAUGUGACCGCGGCGCAUUAGCUAGUUGGUGGGGUAACGGCCUACCAAGGCGACGAUGCGUAGCCGACCUGAGAGGGUGAUCGGCCACAUCGGAACGGAGACACGGUCCAGACUCCUACGGGAGGGAGCAGUGGGGGAUAUUGCACAAUGGGCGAAAGCCUGAUGCAGCUACGCCGCGUGAGCGAUGUAGGCCGUCGGGUUGUAAAGCUCUGUCUUCGCGGACGAAAUCUGACGGUAAGCGAGGAGAAAGCCACGGCUAACUACGUG